UACGUAGGCAGCAAGCGUUGUUCGGAGUUACUGGGCGUAAAGGGUGUGUAGGCGGUUGUUUAAGUUUGGUGUGAAAUCUCCCGGCUCAACUGGGAGGGUGCGCCGAAUACUGAAUGACUAGAGUGCGGGAGAGGAAAGUGGAACUCCGGGAGUAGCGGUGAAAUGCGUAGAGACCCGGAGGAACACCAGUGGCGAAGGCGGCUCCCUGGCCUAGUACUGACGCUGUGGCGCGAAAGCUAGGGGAGCAAACAGG
RNAcentral lists this ribosomal RNA (253 nucleotides) under uncultured bacterium. RNAcentral's name for it is "partial 16S ribosomal RNA". It matches the Rfam family "Bacterial small subunit ribosomal RNA", at positions 524 to 776 of the family's 1533-position model. The record is from RNAcentral.